AGCCCGGUGGUGUAGUGGUCUAGCAUAGCAUGGGCAUUUCGGGCCAGAAACACGAAAGCGUCCCCUAGUCGGCUCUGGAUCCCCUCGAACGGAGGAGUUGGAGCAACCUGCUGACGGGAGUUCGAAUCUCCCCCGGGCUACCA
This 143-nucleotide transfer RNA is filed under the name Candidatus Bathyarchaeota archaeon. Its description in RNAcentral is "tRNA-OTHER". It matches the Rfam family "tRNA". Rfam says of the family: Transfer RNA (tRNA) molecules are approximately 80 nucleotides in length. The record is from RNAcentral. Lineage: Archaea; Thermoproteati; Candidatus Bathyarchaeota. RNAcentral also lists the same sequence under 1 other name.